GUCCGGGAACCAACUGUCCGGCGGGAUCCCGAGAAGCGUUGCUAAGCUAAGCCAGCUGACGCAAAUGGACCUGAGCAGGAAUCAGCUCACCGGCGGCAUACCGGCAGAGCUCGGCGCCAUGCCGGUGUUAAGUGUCCUUGACCUGUCGUCGAACAAGCUCUCCGGCAACGUACCGCAGGCGCUUGCGAAGCCACAACUCACCUCCCUGAACCUGUCCUCGAACCAGCUGAGCGGUAAGGUCCCGGCCGGGUUCGCCACAGCGGUCUACGACACCAGCUUCCUCGACAACCCCGGCCUCUGCACCGCCGCUGCGGGAUCCGGCUACCUCACUGGCGUCCGCUCCUGCGCCGGCGGAUCACAAGACGGCGGUUCCUCCGGAGGCGUCUCGCACGCGCUCCGCACAGGCCUCCUCGUCGCCGGCGCCGCGCUCCUCCUCAUCGCCUCGGCGUUUGCCUUCUUCGUCGUCCGCGACGUCAAGAAACGGCGGCGCGUCGCGGAGCAAGACGACUGGAAGAUCACACCUUUCGUCAAAGAUCUGGGAUUCGGUGAGGCACCCAUACUCCGGGGCCUGACGGAGGAGAACCUCGUCGGGCGCGGGGGAUCGGGGCGCGUGUACCGCGUCGCCUACACUAACCGGCUUAACGGCAGAGCCGGCGCGGUGGCCGUGAAACAAAUACGGACCGCCGGGAAGCUCGACCAGAAGCUGGAACGCGAGUUCUCGUCGGAGGCUGGCAUCCUCGGCAGCCUCCGGCACAACAACAUCGUCAGGCUCUUGUGUUGCCUCUCCAACGCCGAGUCCAAGCUCCUCGUGUACGACUACAUGGACAACGGCGGCCUGGACAGGUGGCUCCACGGCGACGCCCUCGUCGCUGGCGGGCGCCCGAUGGCGAGGGCGCGGUCCGCGCGGCGCGAGCCGCUGGACUGGCCGGCGAGGCUCGGGGUGGCCGUCGGCGCCGCGCAGGGGCUGUGUUACAUGCACCACGAAUGCGAGCCGCCCAUCGUUCACCGCGACGUCAAGGCGAGCAACAUCCUGCUGGACUCGGAGUUCCGGGCCAAGAUCGCCGACUUCGGGCUGGCCACGAUGCUGCUACAGGCCGGGGCGCCCGAGACGAUGUCCGCCGUCGCCGGAUCGUUCGGCUACAUGGCUCCUGGUAAGGAUCCGAACUUGCUAUUUACAGUAGAUUUCUGUCCCAUUUUUCCAGAUUCAGACAUUAAGUAACUAGGGAGCAUCUACUGUAGCUGUAGCAUAUGUCACGAGUUAUCGUAUUGCCGGACCUUCGAUUUGGCGUUUGAUGCUUAUCUGCAGAGUGUGCUUACACCAAGAAGGUGAGCGAGAAGGUUGACGUCUACAGCUUUGGCGUCGUCCUCCUGGAGCUCACCACCGGCAAGGAGGCCAACUACGGCGGCGAGCACGGCAGCCUGGCGGAAUGGGCACGACACCACUACCAGUCAGGAGGGAGCAUCCCCGACGCCACAGACAAGAGCAUCAGAUACGCAGGGUACUCCGACGACAUCGAGGUUGUUUUCAGGCUAGGCGUGCUCUGCACCGCAGAGAUGCCAUCGUCGCGGCCAACUAUGAACGACGUGCUGCAGAUCUUGGUCAAGUGCAGCGAGCGGACGCACCAGAAGGGCAAGACGGAGCGUGGCCCGGAGUAUGAGGCUGCCCCGCUACUUUCCAACGGCUCGGGGAUUGAGAUUGAAGAGAAGAUCGACUUCGACCGCAUUGUCUGAAGAAAGGAACCGACCACUGCACAGGCCAGUAAACAACCUUCGACAGCAUCAGAGAACGGCUGUAGUGAUACUUAGCACAUUUUAGCAGAGUGCAGCGAGGGCUAUAGUUGUCACAAGACCUUGACCCUGCACUAGGUCGUUAGUGCAGGCAUGGUAUAGAUCAGGGCUUGUGGCGAACCAAACCGUUUCUGUGUUUUGACACUGCAAACUUGUAUUAUUAAAUCACAGACACAUUAGACUAGUCAGACAGAAGAACCAGCAAAUGUGAUGAUUUCCUUUUGAAACAAAGGCAGAAGAUGGGGUUCUGCAUGUCUACAUCCACCUGUUUAUUGUAAAAGCACUGGUUGGUUGGGAUAUGGCAUCAUAAUACAAACUUGGAGUGAUAAGGAAAAUGAAGCUGGAAGGAAGGGCUACUGCCCCCAAGAACUCCAUUGGAGCUGGAGGAGGAGGAGGAGGAGAGGGAAAAGAAGAAGAAGAAAAGAUGAAGAGGUGGUGGAGAUGGGGAAGGAAGAAGCAAGCCUCCCUAUGUUUGUACUUUGUCUUAGCCAUUGAGGGGGUGUUUAGAUAUCAGGUGCUAAACUUUAGACGUGUCACAUCGGAUGUUCGGAUGCUAAUUAGGAGGACUAAACAUGAGCUAAUUAUAAAACUAAUUGCAGAAUCCCUGGGCUAAUUCGCGAGACAAAUCUAUUAAGGCUAAAUAAUCCAUCAGUAGCAAAUGGUUACUGUAGCACCAUAUUGUCAAAUCAUGGACUAAUUAGGCUUAAUAGAUUCGUCUCACAAAUUAGACUCCAUCUAAGCAAUUAGUUUUGUAAUUAGACUAUAUUUAAUACUCCUAAUUAGUAUCCAAACAUCCAAUGUGACAGGUGUUAAAGUUUAUCACGUGGAAGCCAAACAGCCCCUGAAUGUGCUAUAUUUCAAACUCAUUGACGCCAUGUGACCUGUAUCCCGUUGCACAGGCAAAAGGAGAUGCGAAUCGCGCAAGAGGAGCUCUGACUUGAAAGGGGACAAAGCAGGAAAACAAAAGGGUUACAGCCGGGUACGCAACCAUCAGCUGGAUCGCGCCUCCGAUCGUGAUGCAAAUGAGAGGUAACAACAGUCAGCUGAGAGUGAUUUAUAUUAUUAAAUAUUACUCACACUUCCCAUUAAGAAAAUAGUCUAAAAACUUCUAAAUUCUAUCGAAAUUGUCCACCUCUAAUAUUCUGAAAACAAAAACCUAAACCAACCCCUUAAUGUUAUCUAACUUAUACACAUAUGACAUUAUAAAAAAAUAAUCUAAAAUACCCCUAAAUUUGUAUCUAAAUACCCAUAUUUAAUUAUUAAACAUAACCUAAAUCAAGUCUAAAUCUGCAUCAAAAUUACAUGAAUCUUCCAUUUAAAAAAAUUAAAGUACACCAUGCAUACAUGGUUCUAAAUUACCUAUUUCUAUUAUUACUAAUAUAGAAAAAUAAUAAUUUAAAAUAUAUGUGCGUGAUGUCAGCCCAACCAAUGCAAAUUUUCAUUAAAAAAUCAAUGAUGAAAUUUUGAAAAAUUUAACAUUGUUGGUCCCCUAACAAGAUAAAAUUUGAGAUUCUGACUCCACCACUGGUGGCAUUAUACAGACCACAUGUACAUGUACGGAUUUAAAAGAUGAGAAUAACGAUUUUCACGUUCAAUACUUUACACAUAGGUCAAAGGGUUAAAUUAAACACAUUUUAAAACAUAUAUAAAGGUGUGAUACAAAUUAGAGAAAACUAUAAGUGUGGAUGUGUAUAGAGUAAUUGCUAACUAAUUUAUCAUGAUCGGCAUAUCUAUACGAGUAUUUUGUUAGAUUUUAAAUUAGAGAGAGCAUGAUAAGCAAAUUUGGUUAUUAGAUAUGGACCUUAAUCUUUUAUUCAUUGCUAAUACUUAUGUUCUUUAAAAUUACUAUGCCGCGUGAGAGUAUGGUUUGAUGGACGUACUAGUUAAUCUAGAAAUAUGAGCAAUGGAGAGAUACAUGGCGGAAAAAUGAUACAUGACAGGAGACUAACUGUUUGGCAAGAAAUUACUGAAUGAGACUGAUAUUGAUACCAUCAUCAAUGAUUAGAUGCUAAACUUAUAAGGUAUUGUCUUUAUAAUGUUUUGUUUAAUAGUUUUUCAUGCACCUUAAGUGUUUGCCCGUAAAAUAUCUACUAUACUUACAAGGCUACUACUGCUCCUACUACUUACAAGGAUUCCUAUUUAGUUUUGCUCUUGGCCCUAAAAUCUUAGGAUCGGCCUUACUAGCAGCAACCGCAAAGACGCAACAUGCGCACUAGCGACUUAAUGUUCUGAGAACUUUUGAGGAGUGCCCCCUUUUUUCCAUUUGUCUUUCUUCUCCUUUUUCAUUUUUUUUCAAAAUGGAUCUAGAUAACUUUUUCAUAAAAGGUUAUUUAGAUAAUUUUCCAAAAAAAAUUAUUUUCAUAAUUAGAAGUGUUAUUUAAAAAAUUCUAGAAAAAAAAGAUUUUGGAAAGUUUUUUCAUAUGUAUGCAUUUUUAAUUUUGGAACGUUCGUCAACGAACUAAGGAGGAAAGGAAUGGGAAAUGUGUGCCAGCCGGGUGGACUAGACCAUGCCUCUUUUUUCCUACAAAGGGCCGGGAAAAUGAGACCAUAUGAGCCAAAAGCUCGUGUGUAAUAUAAGCGCAGCUAGCGUGCAAUCUAAUUAUUGGCGCCCACACAUACGGUGAUUUUGUUACUUUUAAAAAAUAAUUUAACUUCCCAUAUGUGUUUUUUAUAUGUGUGUCCAUUUAUGUGAACAUCUACUUUUUUUAAGCUGCAUUUUUUAUAAAAAAUGUGAUUUUACCUCAGGGAAUAAAAAUCAUGCGAACGAGUUACCCUCGGAGUCUCGUGUUUGACGGGGCACAGUUAUGCUGUGCUGUGACCCGUCUCCGGCGAACGUGAGAAGAAAAGAUUAGCGAACUGACCCCGAACCCGAAUUUCGUUGAUCAGCGGUGCAGUCAAGAGAAGGAAAAACGAUUCCUCUAUCUGGCAUCUAUCGACAGUUUGAACAACACAGACUUCCAUAGCACCAGCAAAAGUCUGGUCUACUCCGUCCGAAUCACACUCUUAAACGAAGGAAAAGAUACGAAUCAGAGGCAGUUAGAAAGCUUCGCGGCAAGCACCUGCAAGAAGUAAAAGCCCAAAACGCACGCAGCGGACCGAAUGGGCUCAUGCCAGUUUUCUACAAGAAAAACUGGGGAUUUCCCUCUCCCUCCGCAUUUGAUUGCCAAACCGAUCGUCCGUCUCCCUGAUCUUGGCCUCUUCCCGCGUCGACCGCGCACCGCGGCGGCCGUGCAGGCGCGCACAACCAACGCCACGCCACGAAAACAGACCGGCCGACACAUGGAGGCACCAUGGCGCUCCCCGCAUCUCCUCGGCCUCGUGCUCGCACUACUUCCCAGCUGCUGCCUCCUGCCCCGCGCGGCCGCGCAGGACGACGCGCGGCUGCUGCUCGAGAUCAAGCGCGCGUGGGGCGACCCGCCCGUGCUGGCCGGGUGGAACGCCUCGGCCGCGGGCGCGCACUGCGCGUGGCCGUACGUGGCGUGCGACACGGCCGGGCGUGUCGUGAACCUGACACUCGCCAGCGCCAACGUCGCGGGGCCCUUCCCGGACGCCGUCGGCGGCCUCACCGGCCUCACGUACCUCGACGUCUCUAGCAACAACAUCACCGGCGUGUUCCCCACCGCGCUCUACCGCUGCUCUGCGCUUCAGUACCUCGACCUGUCCUGGAACCAUCUUGGCGGAGAGCUCCCCGCGGACACCGGCUCCCGCCUGGGGGCGAACCUGACCACGCUGGUGCUCAGCGGAAACAGGUUCAACGGCACAAUCCCAGCGUCGCUCUCCAGCCUCCGGAAUCUCCAGAAUCUCAAGCUGGACGACAACAAACUCAUUGGCACCGUCCCAGCGGAGCUCGGCAAGCUGACGAGGCUUCAGACGCUAUGGUUGGCGUACAACCCGUUCGACGCGGGGGACCUGCCGGCCUCAUUUAAGAACCUGACCAACAUGACUAGUCUCUGGGCAGCGCAGUGCAAGCUCGUCGGCGACUUCCCGAGGUUUGUCGCGGACAUGCCGGAGUUGGAGGUGCUGGACCUGUCCAUCAACACGCUGACCGGAAGCAUACCUCCGUGGGUUUGGAGCCUCAAGAAAUUGCAAUCCUUUGCAGUUUACAGGAACAACCUCACCGGCGACUUGGUGGUUAAUGACUUCGCCGCGAUGGGCUUAACAUUAAUCGAUGUUUCAGAGAAUUAUAAGCUUACUGGAGUUAUCCCGGAAGUCUUUGGGCACUUGGAGAACCUCACAAGAUUGUCCCUCUUCAGGAACAACUUCUCCGGCGAGAUACCUGCCAGCAUCGGCCGGCUGCCAUCAUUAUCGGUAUUGAGGCUUUAUAGUAACAGGUUUACUGGUAUUCUCCCGCCAGAACUUGGGAAGCACUCGACCUUUACUUAUAUGGAGGCUGACGACAAUGAGCUCAUUGGCACAAUUCCAGAAGGGCUAUGUGCCAGAGGCCAGUUCAUGACGCUCACUGCCAAGGGCAACCACUUGAACGGAUCCAUCCCGGAAGCCCUGGCCAACUGCACCAGUCUGCGCAGCCUGCAGCUAGACAGUAACCAGCUCUCUGGCGAGGUGCCCCAGGCUCUAUGGACGAUAGGGAUUAAAACCUUGUUCCUACGGAAUAACAGGCUCACCGGAAGACUCCCCGCCACGAUGGAUAGCAACCUUACAACGUUGCACAUUGAGAACAAUCAGCUCUUUGGCAGCAUCCCGGCGACAGCUGCUGCGCUCCAGGUGUUCACCGCCGAAAACAACCAGUUUUCAGGUGACAUGCCGGCGAGUCUUGGGGACGGCAUGCCGCGGCUACUGACACUGAACCUGUCCGGUAACCAACUGUCGGGCGGAAUCCCAAGGAGCGUUGCUGAGCUAACGCAGCUCACCCAACUGGACAUGAGCAGGAACAAGCUCACGGGCGCGAUACCGGCAGAAUUGGGCGCCAUGCCGGUGUUAAGUGUCCUUGACCUGUCGUCGAACAAGCUCUCCGGCAACGUACCGCAGGCACUUGCGAUGCUGACACUCACCUCCCUGAACCUGUCAUCCAACCAGCUCAGUGGCCAGGUCCCGGCUGGGCUUGCCACGGCAGCCAACGGCAACAGCUUCCUCGACAACCCCGGCCUCUGCACCGCCGCUCUGGGACGACCCGGCUACCUCGCCGGCGUGCGGUCCUGCGCCGGGGGGUCGCAAGACGGCA
This 6967-nucleotide long non-coding RNA is filed under the name Setaria italica (foxtail millet). RNAcentral's name for it is "long non-coding RNA (SITA_LNC003992)". Lineage: Eukaryota; Viridiplantae; Streptophyta; Magnoliopsida; Poales; Poaceae. The record is from RNAcentral.